CCUACGGGAGGCAGCAGUGGGGAAUUUUGGACAAUGGGCGAAAGCCUGAUCCAGCGACGCCGCGUGCGGGAGGAAGCCCCUCGGGGUGUAAACCGCUGUCAGGGGGGAAGAAAAGGUCCGGACGAAUAAUCCGGGCUCUUGACGGUACCCCCAGAGGAAGCGCCGGCUAACUCCGUGCCAGCAGCCGCGGUAAUACGGAGGGCGCAAGCGUUGUCCGGAAUUACUGGGCGUAAAGGGGGCGCAGGCGGCUUGUUAAGUCCUGUGUGAAAGCCCGCGGCUCAACCGCGGAAAGCCACAGGAUACUGGCGAGCUUGAGACGGGUAGAGGCGAGUGGAAUUCCCGGUGUAGCGGUGGAAUGCGUAGAUAUCGGGAAGAACACCAGUGGCGAAGGCGACUCGCUGGGCCCGUUCUGACGCUCAGGCCCGAAAGCGUGGGGAGCAAACAGGAUUAGAUACCCUGGUAGUCCACGCCGUAAACGAUGGGCACUAGGUGCUGGGGAGUGUGACCUCUUCGGUGCCGUAGCUAACGCGUUAAGUGCCCCGCCUGGGGAGUACGGCCGCAAGGCUGAAACUCAAAGGAAUUGACGG
This 587-nucleotide ribosomal RNA is filed under the name uncultured Gemmatimonadota bacterium. Its description in RNAcentral is "bacterial SSU rRNA". It matches the Rfam family "Bacterial small subunit ribosomal RNA", at positions 338 to 916 of the family's 1533-position model. The record is from RNAcentral. Lineage: Bacteria; Pseudomonadati; Gemmatimonadota.